This 91-nucleotide long non-coding RNA is filed under the name Anser brachyrhynchus (Pink-footed goose). RNAcentral describes it as "lncRNA (ENSABRG00000006229.1)". The record is from RNAcentral. Lineage: Eukaryota; Metazoa; Chordata; Aves; Anseriformes; Anatidae.
GAACCUGAUGCCAGCAAUUUAAGGAUCUUCACAUUCAGUCUCAGUGGAGACAUUAAUGACCUAGUAAACAAAAGCAGAAGAGCCUCGUUUG